RNAcentral lists this ribosomal RNA (265 nucleotides) under uncultured prokaryote. Its description in RNAcentral is "partial 16S ribosomal RNA". It matches the Rfam family "Bacterial small subunit ribosomal RNA", at positions 524 to 788 of the family's 1533-position model. The record is from RNAcentral.
UACGGAGGAUCCGAGCGUUAUCCGGAUUUAUUGGGUUUAAAGGGUGCGUAGGUGGAUUGGUAAGUCAGUGGUGAAAGUUUGCAGCUUAACUGUAAAAUUGCCGUUGAAACUGCCGGUCUUGAGUGCAAAUGGGGUAGGCGGAAUGCGUCGUGUAGCGGUGAAAUGCUUAGAUAUGACGCAGAACUCCGAUUGCGAAGGCAGCUUACUGGGAUGCAACUGACGCUGAGGCACGAAAGCGUGGGUAUCAAACAGGAUUAGAUACCCU